CCGCGGUAAUUCCUGCCUUUCCUGUCUCCACCUCUGCCACCCCCGUCUCCGCGAGAGCCGCUAAAACCGCCCCCUCGCGCUCUGGGGACAAGGAUAGGGUGUUCUAGAUAUCUCUGGGGAUCCUGGGAUUUCUGAGGAUUCACCUUGACCUUCUUCAGGCCCUUCAUCUAUAUCUAAAGCCUCUUGCUGAUCGGAAGAUAAAUGUUCCUCCACUGGCUGAUGACCAAGUGGCAAAAAAUCUCCCUCCCCCAGCUGAUGGCUAGAGUGGGAUCCUUCCCCAGCUUCCGAGGGACCCAGAAUUGCCCUCUGACAACUGGAUAAACUUGCAUUUCUGUGUGAAAUAACUUCCAGCAUCACCCUUGCCGGAGACAAAAGCUCUAAUGCCUCUUUGUCUCUCUGGGUUGCUAAAUGAUAUAAAGAUCUAUUAAUCUGUUCUGAAAAACUUGGCUCAAAUAAUGAAUUUGUUUCAGCAUUUGGAAACCUAAGUCUGACCCAUAAAAGCCGGCUUUUAAGUUCUUUAUCUGGGAUGGUCAUGGGAUGAGCUGACAUUGCACUUUUUAAGGUGGCUAGGAGAUUGAUUUGUUCCUGGCUGAAUCCACCCCCCAUGUUCUGAAUUUUGACCUGUCUUACGAAAAGCAAGUCCUCAAAGUCGAGCCAGAUGGUUUUUCCUGAUCACUGGCCAAGAGAUUGCAGGAGAGGAGUCCUGGGUUUCCUCCCUUCAGAUUCUGGCUUGGAGCUGUCUUUCUCUCAGCAGAGGUCAAAAUUUCUUCCCUGCAGCCUUCUCUGGUGGAGUGCCUCUCUCGAACUGUUCUUCAGGCUGACGGCUCUUCACGUCCUGGUGCAACCCACCUCUUGCCCUGGUGUUGCUCACCGAGUGCGUGCUUGCCUCUGGAAUGUCUUCGGUCAAGGUGCUCACCUUUGUGAAGCCACCUCGAGCUCACUGCAUGCUCACUGCGUGCCCACGUCAUGUGUGUGCCCAGUGCGUCCCUACCCAGGGACACCAGUUGUGAAUGGUGGCGAUCUCUUUUAUGGUCUGAGAUCACUCAUCGCACAGUAGUGGUGGUUUGAGAGUUCUUAUUUUUCAGCCUGGGCACCGAAGGAAGAGUCAGAAGCCGUUUUCUGAGGUUUCCAAGGUUGUUUGUUCUUUCUUAUCUAAGGAAUUUUCUCUCUGACUUAAAGCAGUUCGUCCUGCAAAUCGUUCAAGGCUUUCUGCCUGCCCUCCUGGGCAGGACUUAUCUUUUAUACUCUCAAUUACGCAUACACUGUUUACAAUUAAUCUCCAAUACAUGACACCUACAUUGCAUUGUCCAGUUUUCCCUUAAACCAAUCCAGAAUUGACAUCCUAACCCAAAAGAUGGACAGCAUGAAGACGAAGAAAGACAUACCACGCCCAACAUACCACCAUCUUGUGUUCAGACCCCUGAUAUAAACAAUUUUAAAACUUCACUUUUUUACCUUAAUACUCUAAUUUAUACUCUACUUAUUUUUUGCGACUAUGCAAUUCUUCAUAUAAAGGUGGUAAUUUCUCCCAGGGACUUAAAUCGAAGGGAUUUUGGACACCUUGCCAAGGCAUCUGAGCCCCCUGCCCAGGUUCUAGGGAAGCUAGGGGAAUAUCCUGGGUUCCCACAUAUUCUCCAUGAUGGAGCAGGUUCCUGGCAGCAAUAAGGUGAUGAUGUGGGCAUGAAGUUCAUGGAGAACUGCAGUUAGUGCCAAGGAUUAAUCUUGGAACAAUUUGCAAAGGGCUGUCUCCCUUGGGAGACACUCCAUGUUGGGUGCAAGAGAAGAGUUUUAGGAGGAAGAAGCAGCAGAGACAACAUUAAAUGAACUGAUCAUGAACACCAUUUUCUGUCCCCUUGUGCUGCUCAAUGGGAAGAAGGUAAAAAAAGUUGUGAAUAAAGUCAGGCAUGAGAAGAAAGGAAGAGUGGGAGGAAAAUGCUUUGAGAUUUGUUUUUACUUCUCCUUUUCCUGCUCUGACUUUUGACUGGCAGUUAAUUAAAUCAAUUUUCCCAGGUUGACUGUUUUGCCCAUGACAGUAAGGGAUGAAUGAUCUCCCCCUGUUCUGUCCCAGAAGGGGAGUGAUAGAGCAGCUUGGUGGGCACCUUGUGGUUAGCCAAUGUUAAAUCAUUGCAGGCUAUUAAAACUAAUAUCUGCCAGGUGAAUCUGUAAAAAAAAACUGUAGUGUAAAAAGAAUACAUAGGCAUUUAAUACAUCAGACACCCAUAAUAAUUGAAUGAUCUAGAUAUUCUUCACUGGUGAAUGCUAUCUCCCUUCCAAACCUUUGUAGCAGAGCCUUUCCUGCUUAUAUUUUGUACUUAUUCUGGGGUGAAAUCCUAUUUGCUUGAUACUUUCUUUCAUCUCAUUGUAUUUCCAAUCACCUGUAUUUCCCUGUUUCUCUCUCUGUCUGUGUUUAGGCCAAAAAAUUGUAUUUUCGUGUAUCAUUUUGUAUAGUAUAGGGGUGUUGUGUGAACGUUCUAUACAAUUAAUAUGAUAUGAACCUGUUUUGUUGUGUAACUUUGCCUCAUCAGUUAAUUUUAAAUCCCAGCUGGAGAGACCUCUGUUCUUCCUCAUUCAUUAUUUUAUUUUGCCUUCUCUUACUGUUUAUCUCCACUUUUGGUAUUAAUAUUAUGAAGUACUAGAAAAUUAUUUCCAAGGAAAGGUAAUGUAUUACAUUUUGAAUAUUGUAUUAUUGAGACAAUAGAACAAUCACAUUUAGGAAAGCACUUGUUUAUCAGUUUCAAAUAAUAAUUUUUUUUAAAUCUCCAGUCUUGCCUCAAGUGAAAGGGUAGGUGGGGAUGUAAGCAUUUUCUUGCUAUGCAAUUCGUUACUUUGUAUAACCUUCUUAUAGCUCCCUUAAUUUCUUGUGUCUAAAUUAAGGUCAUAAUAAUUUCCAUCUUUCCAUAUACAGAAGGAACUUCAAGCCUCUAAAAGUUGUCACCUGUUUUGAAUAAUUUUGUUUUUCACUAUAGCAUCCUUAAAAAUGGCAUUUCCAAUGUUAUUUUUCAUUUUAUUUUCCCCUUUGUAGUUAACAAACAGUAGAGUUUAAGUUUGUUUGAAAGCAAAGAUAAAAUGCUGAAUUACAUUGUCAAAUUUUUGUUUUGUUUUGGUCAAUAAAACAUAUAGCCUAUUUUAUAAGUAAAAUACAACACAAAUAAAUAAGUUCUACCAAAAAAAAAAAUCCCAAAAACUGUGGGAGAAAAUAUGCAAAUUUUGUCAUGCCUUUUGCACUGCUUCAUUUAAUAAAAUAGUUUAAAAAAAAAUCAGAUACCAAAAUAUGAUCUAUGUUAAACUUAACCAUUGCUUUUCAAAAUGAGGAUUUUUUAAAGUGAUAAUUGGAAAUUAAUUAUUAAUUGAUUAUAUCCUAAUUAAUGUUUGGUCUCAUCAAUUUUCUUUAGUGAAGAGGAAAAUAAGCUUUUAUUCAAAGCAGUAAUAAUUUAUUUGUAUCUUUUUUCUAGUACAAAAAAUCCUGGCUUCAACGUCAGUGAAGGAGGGAAAGAAGGUACUCCAGCUGGUAGAACAGAUAUUUCCCUGUUAUCCAAGGAGAAUACCGUGGUAAAGCAGGUUGUCCCCCUGUAGCCUGUGGAAAACUCCAUUCUGAAGCAGGCUCUGAGAGUUCUCAGAAGCCCUUCAGAGCCUACAUUGGAGCAGACUCCUGGCCCAUGGACAGAAAUUUAUGUGGUAAAAUGUUUUCUGGAAGGAAUUGUGUCCCAUGGGGAACCCAACCUGAAGCAGUUUGUACCUGUUUAUCUCCUGGGAAGGACUCAUGCUGAAACAGUUCUUGGAACACCAUAGCUUCUGGGAAGGACCCAUUUUGGAAUAGUUUAUGAAAGACUGAGUCCAGUGGGAGGGACCCCACUGAAGCAAGGGUGUAGCAUAGGGAGGGAAGAGUCAUGAACCAUUAGCAGAGUCUGGAAGGAAGGAUGGUGGGAAGGUAGUUUUAAUUUUGGUUUUGUUUCUCAUUUUCCUACUUUACUUUUACCUGAUAAUACAUUAAAUUAAUCUUUCCCAAGGCAAGUUUGCCCAUGAGGGUAAUUGGUAGUCUCCUUAUUCUUGUCUUGAGCUGCAACCUUUUUCAUCAUAUUUUCUCCUUGGUGAGUACCUAUCAGCUAGCCAAGGUCCACCUACUACAAUUCCUGUUUUUGUAAGAGGCGAGUGGUAAUCUACCCAUAUACUUUUACUUGGCGCUGUGUAAUUGAGAUGAUGCCUCCCUCUUCAUGAUUGUAGUGACUUACUCUUCAGGACACGAAUUUCCUAAAAAUCAAGUGUUUGUUAAAUAGCCAGUGCUAAGCUCGUAGUAAUAACUACUAUAAAAGUUGUGAAUCAGGUGCAUUCUGUUUCAAAUGAUCAUGCAUUUCUCUAGCACAUAGCCUUUUUAAAAGGAGAGCUCCUAGCAAAUUAAUUAUUUUUAUUCAGAUUUCACAGACUGGUUUGUAGAUUCAGAGUUCUAUUCUUGUACACAGUUACUAGUUCUGACUGGUUUUAACCUUUUAUUUUCCACACAGCCUCUGACUAAAUUUGAGGAUGUAUUUAUACAUGAUUACUGUGCAUUUCAGGACUCAGGUCCUGAAAAGUUCAGCAUGCCAUUUGGAUGUGUGCAGGAACUGGCAGUUUCUCUGUCAGUUGUCAGUGCAGAGUCAGACUGAGUGAAGUUUCAGGACAAAGGGAAGAAUUUAUUCAAAGAAAGGUGAAGCCUUGGAAUAGACUGCUUAGGGAUAUGGCUGAGUCACCAUACCUGGAAUGUCAACAACUGACUGGAUAUGGGAGGGCAACAGUGUAUUUGAUAUGAUAUUGUUUGGUCAAAGGCUGGACUCCAUGAACUCAGAGGUCAUUUCCAACCUAAAUGAUUCUGUGAUCCUGUGAAGAAUGAAGGUGCUUAAUAUGAGAUGCUAACAAAAAUUAUAGAAAAUUAUAAAAAAUAUAGAAAUGAUGAAAAUUACAUAUUAUAUCACUGUCCAGAAAUGGAAUUAUCACAAUGUCUUGGAGUGAGUUAGGAUGAUAGUCUAUUCCGUGAUCCUCUGUUUUAUGCCCAAAAUUGGUUGUUGUAUCUUUAAGGCCUGAGACUGGAUGUGUGCAGGGCUGGGGAGGGGGAGCUUUGGGGUUUUUGGUGGACAUUUUUGAAGACUCAUUGCCCAGGUGUUCUAUGGCUCUGUGAAGUUCACUUCUGCUUGGCUAGCUUGGUUUUGUUGGUCAAGGCUAAAAGCUUUGCCUUGCCCGACUUGGAGAAGCUGCAGUAGAAAUCUUUCAUCUGCAUUGAUGUGAACUCAACAGCUGCAGGUUUGAGAAUGGAGUGGGACUGGCAGGAGCAGGGCUGCCCAGUUCCAACCCCAAGCUUCUGGGAGACAAGGGGGAGAAAGCACACCAAGAGGCUCCAGACCGGGCCUUUUUGCCUGCCGUGACUACUGUGGAGAGGAGGUCGACACCAGAGAGCCACCAGGUUCUUGCCUUCUGCUGGAACUCCUCUGUGGAAGCUCCUCUUCCCUUAGAGAGAAAGCUAGUACUAUCUUGAACUAUGUGUUGGGAAGGAGUAUUUCUCCAACAUUUCCACAAUUCUCUUGGCUUUUUUGGGUUUUUGUUCUUGGGGAGGGGUGGGAAUUCUGAUAAUUUGGUGUUUAGCAGUUAUUCACUUUCUUCCUUGCCUUGAGGUGUUUUUUUAUUCUGUGGUUGAUAAGCCAUUGGUUUGGUUUAGGGUUUUUUUUUGUUUCCUUCUACUAAUAUUAAUUUUCUAUUGGUGGAGGAGGGUUGUUAAAAUCCUUUAGAGGACACUGCUCCUUUAAGAGUGUGCUCUCUUAAAUAUGACUUGAAACUGAGACAUGGAACCUUCUCUCUAUCUCUGUGGAUACAAAGACAAUUGUCUAUAUUUUCUCACUCGUAAGAUUGCACUUACCCACAAGCUGCUUCUCUGUAAAUACAUAUCUGCAUAUUUUUUUAGUAGUGUUGGGAGUAGGCUGAGAGAAAUUAUCUGAACUCUGCCCAGUAUUAUAAGACCACACCUGGAGUAUUUCAUACAGUGCUUGUCUCUCCAGUACAAGAGACACAUAGAUACAUUGGGUACAGUCAAACAAAGCAAUACCAAGAAGAUGAUGGGACUGGAGCAUUUCUCUUAAAUGAAAAGGUUCAAAGAGAUAAGACUGUUCAGCCUGGAGGAGAAGAUGCUUCACAGGUUCUUUACAGUGGUGCCCAGUGACAGGGCUAGAUGCAAUGAAUUGGAACACAGAAGACUCCAUCUGAACACCUGGAAGCACUUUUUCAAUUGUGAGAGUGACAGAGCACUGGCACAGGUUGCCCAGGAGAACAAUGGAACAUCUGUUCCUGGAGAAAUUAAAAAGAUGUCUGUAGAUUACUCUGGGCAACAGGCUUGAGGUAGCCCUGCUCGAGCAGCGCAUAGGACGAGAAGACCUCCAGGAGUCCCUUCCAGCCUCAACCAUUAUGUGAUUUUAGAAUGGUUCUAGAAAAGUUCUGUGCUGCAACAUCCCAUUAAAUGACAGAUUAUUAAGGUAAGAAGCUGUUACAGAAGUCCUUUGAUUUAAUAAAGAUUAAUGUAGUAAACAGAGCUAAAUUAAAAGUAUUAAGAAUGAUAAUUAAUAUGAAGUGCCUUAUUUGGAAAACUGUAGUUCAGUAGAAUCCACUUUUCAUGUGGAUUUUGACAAACAUGGCCGUCAGAAAUACAAGUGACUCUACAUCAGGGAAUUUGGAGGGUGAGACUAUGAUUCCAUAACUGACUUCCAAAUAGUUGCAGGUUAAUAUACUAGUGUUCCUGUACCAAUAGAUAAGUUUAUUUCUAUUACCCAGUCCAUUCAGGACAAAUAAAAGUGGCCUUAGGACAUUUUCAAGCCUAAUUUUACAAGUUUAUUACAACAGUACAGAGUGAAUAAAUCUAAAUUGGUAGCAUCAUUGGGCCUGUGAUUGAAAACCUGGAUCACAAAUUUAUCUAUACCUUAUCAGAGUGAUGAAAUAGUAAGCAAGAAUAGUCAGAGGAAGCGCAAAAGAGGAAAUGAGGUAAACAAAGUUGCAUUAUUGAAUAGGGCCAUAAAACUCCUUUUUUUAAAAACUCAGAGUAAGUCAGCUAGCCAAUAUACUCUGUAUUGUUAACCUUAAUAUUUCUCUUUGAUACAAACAGGAAAUAUGUAAUUUAAGAAUUGCACAUCCAGAAUUUUUAGUUUCCACAACUGUCUAAUUGUGACACUAGACAAAUCAUGUGAGCUGUAGUUAAGAUGCUCUUCUGAACAACCAUUCUCAAAUUUCUUUACUGAAAUUAAUCUGAAGAAAUGUAUAUGCACAAUGCAAAAACGGUUCCAGAUUGCGUAAGUAUAAACCUCUGUAAAUAAUAUACACUUACUUUACAGAAAGUGAAUUUACUGAAGAAACAAAAUAAUGCUCCAAAGAAUUUAUAAGUUGCAGUAAGAAACCACAAAUGAAGGAAUAGUCCAGAGGCUUUUUUCAGAUUUGAAAGCUUAGAACUUAAAUUUUAAGCCUGUGCAGAGGCAAAUUACUUAUUUUGAGAAAGUUACUACUCGCAUUGUAAGGUUUUGUGUGGUCCAGCUGGACAGUUCUUAUAGGUUUUAGCUGAUUGCCAUAAAGUAGUAUCAAACUUAAACCAAUGAUGACAUUGUAAAAAACAUACAAA
Catharus ustulatus (Swainson's thrush) is the source of this 7621-nucleotide long non-coding RNA. RefSeq lists it as uncharacterized. NCBI's taxonomy places the organism in Eukaryota, Metazoa, Chordata, Aves, Passeriformes, Turdidae. The record is from RefSeq and is a predicted model, not a curated record. The transcript has 2 exons.